This 1357-nucleotide unclassified non-coding RNA is filed under the name Neodiprion pinetum (white pine sawfly). RNAcentral describes it as "putative gustatory receptor 28b, transcript variant X2". The record is from RNAcentral. Lineage: Eukaryota; Metazoa; Arthropoda; Insecta; Hymenoptera; Diprionidae.
AAUACUCAGGGAACAUUAGGAUACCAAUGGUGGCGGACUACAUUAUCACUUACCGAACCAUUAGCAUGGAAAUUGUCCAUUAGGGCGACCAGGCACAGUGGUUAUUUGACCAGGCGCAACUGAUCGGCAAAAUAAAUCAUCCUGCACAUCAAGCUUUGUAUUAUCGUCGAAAACCAUGAGGCUUAUCGCGGAGUCUGAAAAGAUCAGAAGGUCUUUGAAUCCAAUUUUCAUCUCUUCUUGGAUAUUCGGGGUGCCACGUAUCAGUUACAAGUACACUCAUCGCUUGAUGUACUCGGUAUUAAUCGCGGCAAUUUUUGCGGCAACUUUCAUCGUGUCGUUAGACGUUCGAUGGAACGCCGCCAUGUCCUACAAUCAUACGUACGCCACGUUCUACGGCGUUUCACAAAUUGUCACAUUCGUGGGCGGUAUUGGUACGAUCAUAUUUUGGGUUGCCAGUGGCGCAAAAGCUUUGGAUGAUUCGAUCGUGGAGCUGGGAACGGUGGAUGUCGAAUUGAGGGAUAUCGGCAUCGAAGUCAAACACCGAGACGUAUAUCGCAGGCAGAUCAGAUUGCUCGGUUCGUUCUCAACGAUAUGGCUGGUCAUCAUCGGUCUGCACGAAUACAUAUUUACUGCUAUCGGGAUCAACGAUAAAAGCUUGAUAUUAAAAACUUGUUGCCUUUCGUACAGCUCCCACGUUCCUCACUUAAUCACAUUAUUCAGUGAUCUGGUAUUCUCCACAAUAAUGUUUACCUUCUAUGAAAGAUUCCAAUUGAUCAAUCGUGCUUUGACCGAAAUUGCGAAAGACCGGGAGCAAUCAAACGAUGGAAUAAUUGCUGUUCCCAGUAUUCAACCUCUGAGAAAUCGACGUGAUCUUCCGUUCAGCAAUAAGGUGAAUCGGAAUUUGCAGGAAUCGUUAGAGAGAAUCGAUCGGCUUUACAAGGUUCAUCGGCAGCUUUACCUAAUAACGGAAAAGCUCAGUGUGAAUUUUUCAUGGCAGCUCUACUUUACGGUUUCGACAACCUUUUGCCUCCUCGUUUACAGACUCCUCGCAUUGUACACACUGGUUUUCGUCCCGUUGUCGGUGCUCGGAAGUAGGAUCGGUCUAUCGCUCCUCUGGGUCUUCUAUCUCAUGCUCAAAUUCUGGGUGAUCACGUUGAGCUGCUGCAACACCAUCACCGAGGUGAUUCGAAGUCCAACGUUUGACGCGUUGUUUGGUGUUUUACAACGAGAGUAAAAUUGAAAACAAAAAAAUUGAUCACGUUCCAGGCAAAUACAUUGGGAAUCAUUCUCUACAGAAUUACGAUCGAUACUGCACAGAUACUCGGCCCACCUCCUUCAGAACGAGCUUCGUAUCACG